AGGACGAACGCUGGCGGCGUGCUUAACACAUGCAAGUCGAACGGUAAGGCCCUUCGGGGUACACGAGUGGCGAACGGGUGAGUAACACGUGGGUGAUCUGCCCUGCACUUCGGGAUAAGCUUGGGAAACUGGGUCUAAUACCGGAUAUGACUACGAAUCGCAUGGUUUGUGGUGGAAAGCUUUUGCGGUGUGGGAUGGGCCCGCGGCCUAUCAGCUUGUUGGUGGGGUGAUGGCCUACCAAGGCGACGACGGGUAGCCGGCCUGAGAGGGUGUCCGGCCACACUGGGACUGAGAUACGGCCCAGACUCCUACGGGAGGCAGCAGUGGGGAAUAUUGCACAAUGGGCGCAAGCCUGAUGCAGCGACGCCGCGUGAGGGAUGACGGCCUUCGGUUGUAAACCUCUUUCAGUAUCGACGAAGCGCAAGUGACGGUAGGUACAGAAGAAGGACCGGCCAACUACGUGCCAGCAGCCGCGGUAA
This 479-nucleotide ribosomal RNA is filed under the name uncultured bacterium. Its description in RNAcentral is "SSU rRNA". It matches the Rfam family "Bacterial small subunit ribosomal RNA", at positions 26 to 523 of the family's 1533-position model. The record is from RNAcentral.